This 869-nucleotide ribosomal RNA is filed under the name uncultured archaeon. RNAcentral describes it as "bacterial SSU rRNA". It matches the Rfam family "Archaeal small subunit ribosomal RNA", at positions 125 to 995 of the family's 1478-position model. The record is from RNAcentral.
CAUAACCUCGGGAAACUGGGGAUAAUACCGGAUAACGCAUAUGUGCUGGAAUGCUUUAUGCGUAAAACGGAUUCGUCCGCCCAAGGAUGGGUCUGCGGCCUAUCAGGUAGUAGUGGGUGUAAUGUACCUACUAGCCAACAACGGGUACGGGUUGUGAGAGCAAGAGCCCGGAGAUGGACUCUGAGACAUGAAUCCAGGCCCUACGGGGCGCAGCAGGCGCGAAAACUUUACAAUGCGGGAAACCGUGAUAAGGGAACACCGAGUGCCAGCAUCAUAUGCUGGCUGUCCAGAUGUGUAAAGUACAUCUGUUAGCAAGGGCCGGGCAAGACCGGUGCCAGCCGCCGCGGUAACACCGGCGGCCCGAGUGGUGACCGUUAUUAUUGGGUCUAAAGGGUCCGUAGCCGGUUUGGUCAGUCCUCCGGGAAAUCUGAUAGCUUAACUGUUAGGCUUUCGGGGGAUACUGCCAGGCUUGGAACCGGGAGAGGUAAGAGGUACUACAGGGGUAGGAGUGAAAUCUUGUAAUCCCUGUGAGACCACCUGUGGCGAAGGCGUCUUACCAGAACGGGUUCGACGGUGAGGGACGAAAGCUGGGGGCACGAACCGGAUUAGAUACCCGGGUAGUCCCAGCCGUAAACUAUGCUCGCUAGGUGUCAGGCAUGGCGCGACCGUGUCUGGUGCCGCAGGGAAGCCGUGAAGCGAGCCACCUGGGAAGUACGGCCGCAAGGCUGAAACUUAAAGGAAUUGGCGGGGGAGCACAACAACGGGUGGAGCCUGCGGUUUAAUUGGACUCAACGCCGGACAACUCACCGGGGACGACGGCAAAUGUAGCCAGGCUGAAGACCUUGCCUGAAUCGCUGAGAGGAGUGCAU